UACAGAGGGUGCGAGCGUUAAUCGGAAUUACUGGGCGUAAAGCGCGCGUAGGCGGCUUUGCAAGUCGGGUGUGAAAUCCCCAGGCUUAACCUGGGAACUGCAUUCGAGACUGCAUUGCUAGAGUAUGGGAGAGGGAAGUGGAAUUUCCGGUGUAGCGGUGAAAUGCGUAGAUAUCGGAAGGAACAUCAGUGGCGAAAGCGACUCCUGGACCAAUACUGACGCUCGUGGGCGAAAGCUAGGGGAGCGAACGGG
Molecule: ribosomal RNA, 252 nt
Filed under: uncultured bacterium
Lineage: Bacteria
Description: partial 16S ribosomal RNA
Rfam family: Bacterial small subunit ribosomal RNA
Source: RNAcentral